Molecule: long non-coding RNA, 792 nt
Organism: Spinacia oleracea (spinach)
Lineage: Eukaryota; Viridiplantae; Streptophyta; Magnoliopsida; Caryophyllales; Amaranthaceae
Exons: 5
Source: RefSeq, a predicted model, not a curated record
CACCCAAAACCCUUUGUUCUCUUUCAUCCUCCUCGUUUUUGUUUUUGAUCCUCUUCAUCAUCGUUUCUCUUUCAUCCUCCUCGUUUUUUUUGCUUCUCUUCAUCAUCGUUUCUUGAAGCAGGCGAAUUGGAGGUUGACAUUUCUGAAUCGGAUAUUUGGGCUCUGAAACUGGAGACAAAGAGAAAUUGGCGAAUGUCGUUUAUGAAUUUGUGAGAAGAACCAGAUUUGGGAUACAGCUGGACAGGAAAGAUUUCAGAGUCUAGGUGUUGCUUUCUACCGUGGUGCAGACUGCUGUGUUCUUACUUAUGAUGUCAAUGUCAUGAAGUCUUUUGAGAACCUCAAUCGUUGGAGGGAGGAGUUUUUAUUACAGGCAAGCCCAAGUGAUCCUGAUAACUUCCCGUUUAUUUUGCUGGGGAACAAGAUAGAUGUUGAUGGUGGGAGCGGCAAAGUGCAAUAUAUUACAGGCAAUAUGUAUUGCAUCUAUGAAUUCUGCAAAUUCAUGGUUACUGAUGACAAGGCACAUGCAGGGUAUAUUGACAAAUGAAAUGAAGUGUCUGAGGUGUGAGACCGUCACAGCUGGAGAUGAGACAUUCUUCGGUUUAAGUCUUGAUAUAGAAUAGAACAUCUCCGCCCAAGGAUGGUACAUAUAUUCGAGAAUUACAAGCUUCUUUUAAUAUGUGAAGAUUUACAGGGUUUUUGACACAUAAAUAUUAGAUAGGUUUUAAAAGUUAGAGUUAUUGGACCAUGAUUGCAAAAUGUGCGGGAUUUAGUUUUAGAACAUUUUUUUUUUUA